Oreochromis niloticus (Nile tilapia) is the source of this 1931-nucleotide long non-coding RNA. RefSeq lists it as uncharacterized. The transcript has 2 exons. The record is from RefSeq and is a predicted model, not a curated record. Lineage: Eukaryota; Metazoa; Chordata; Actinopteri; Cichliformes; Cichlidae.
AGAUAUUUGACUAGAACCUACAAAGGCCGCUUCCAUAGCUGGUAAAGGCUCAGGAUGUGAGCGACACACAGCGUCAUCCAUGUCGAGCAGCGUGCAGCAGGGAUUUCUGAGGACUGCACUGGUGGAAAACCUGUCUCUACAAGCUCUCUGCGGGUAAAUACAUGCACAAACAGACAUAAUUGCCCUGCUGUGAAUGAAGCGUGAGGCAUUGCCAAGCCAGCUGAGGGACAUCUUCUUUCUCCUGGUCUAGGAUGCCUGAAACACCUCAACAGCCUCCCAUCAAUGUGGAGGAGUAGCAGCUCUACACGGAGCUCCUCACCCUCUCGAUAAAGCUAAGCUCAGAUGUCCUGUGGAGGAAACUCACUCAUUCUUUGGGUUUAAGCAUAGGGGGUUUAUAAUAACACCAUGUAGGAACAGUUAAGAUAUGAAACCAUGGACUGAGACCAUAAUUCUAUCAUGUGCAUUUUUAAUUGCAUUACCUUUUAAUUUUCUUUGCAAACAGAUCAGUCUCCCCCUGCUGGUCACUAGGAUUAUGCCACUUUAAGGCAUUUCUGCACUGGGUUUACUUUUCAGACCUGAACGUUCUGUUAAUCUUUCAUAUAGAGCUCAAACGGUCUGAUUUUCCAAUGCAGAACAAAUCAAGAAAAGAAAAAGUCAUAAUUAUGAUUUUUGAAAGUGUUAAGUAUUUGUAGGUGUUUUAGGAAAGUGUGAGCGUCAGUUUAUUACCAGUCCUGUACAUGACGACGUCAGCCUACGUCACUAAACUCGAAUACGGAAUUGUACAAAAUCAAACCAUCUGAUUUGUAGGGGGGAAAAAAAAGAAAAGAAAGAAAGUGGUGAGCAGAUGAUGGGAAAAAUGAACAAAGUCUUGAAAAUGUUGCUACCCGAUCUAAACAAAACUUGCUUUAAUGUUUAUUUCAGCUUUGUAAAGACCCUCCGUCCCACUCCCCCCACAGAAAAUAAAUAAACAAACAAACAAUAAAAAACAAACAAAAAGAACGUAAAUGUCAAACUGGGCCCGUGUGUUCAUUACGUUUAAUUUUCAAAUAAGUGAUGGCAAAAUGACACUAUUUACAGGAGAGAAUAUGUAUGAUUUGUACAAAGAAAUAUACAUGCAAAACAAAAAAAACCAACAAAAGAACAAUUUAUGAAACAAAAACGGGAAAACAAAAACACAAAGCGACAAAAACAGAAAAAUCAACAAAAACCCAAACUGAGGUAUCCAGUCCAGUUUUCUUGUUUUUAAAUGGCCUGUGUGUACACCUUUUGAAAUAAAUUAAAAAAAGGUUAAUAGGGGGCUGAUUUAAUCAUAACCCCUUACUGGACUUGUGUGCUAUUGUUACCAUAGCAAUCUUGUGUAGUUACUGGUUAGUUACCAUUUAAAGGUGUUUUGUUGUUGUUGUUUUUUUUAAAUGGAAGAAAUAUUUUGGCAACAUGUAUCUGUACAUAAAGUGAAAACAACACUUUGUAAGUAAAAUCUUGCAUUCAGCUCCCAUCCAAGAGUACAUUUCAGUCCUUUAAUCUCCCGCCUUUUUAAUAAAGGUAUAAAGAGAGUUAACUAAAAGCGUUCCUCUGACAUUUACUCGUGUAAACAAUCAUUUAACAUGGUCAUGGAUGGCCUAACUCAAGUGAAACGUAAUCACAAUAAAACCAUUUCUUUAUUAAGUACUAUAAAGCUAGAGCAACUUUGGUGUACCAAUACUACAGAGGCAUACAGUACAAAAAAAAAAAAGUUAAAUUAGUUUUGAUCAAAACGUGAUGAUUGUAGAUCGUGACCUCUGACGCGGCCUGGCCCCGGAGCGGUCGUUAACACUCGGCGAUCGAAUAAACACAAACUACCAGCAGUGCUUGCAGUACCAAGUACAUGCUUUUCUCUAGAUUUAUUACAGAUACAACAGAUGUUUUCAUAAAUAGUUGCAUAAAAUGUUAAA